RNAcentral lists this ribosomal RNA (446 nucleotides) under uncultured bacterium. Its description in RNAcentral is "partial 16S ribosomal RNA". It matches the Rfam family "Bacterial small subunit ribosomal RNA", at positions 338 to 795 of the family's 1533-position model. The record is from RNAcentral.
CCUACGGGGGGCAGCAGUCGAGAAUCAUUCACAAUGGGGGAAACCCUGAUGGUGCGACGCCGCGUGGGGGAAUGAAGGUCUUCGGAUUGUAAACCCCUGUCAUGUGGGAGCAAAUUAAAAAGAUAGUACCACAAGAGGAAGAGACGGCUAACUCUGUGCCAGCAGCCGCGGUAAUACAGAGGUCUCAAGCGUUGUUCGGAAUCACUGGGCGUAAGGCGUGCGUAGGCUGUUUCGUAAGUCGUGUGUGAAAGGCGCGGGCUCAACCCGCGGACGGCACAUGAUACUGCGAGACUAGAGUAAUGGAGGGGGAACCGGAAUGCUCGGUGUAGCAGUGAAAUGCGUAGAUAUCGAGAGGAACACUCGUGGCGAAGGCGGGUUCCUGGACAUUAACUGACGCUGAGGCACGAAGGCCAGGGGAGCGAAAGGGAUUAGAUACCCCUGUAGUC